UUACUUAGAUAUCAAUAUUUAUUCUACCUGUAAAUUUAGUCUCAGCCAAUUAACUGAAUCAUUGGCAAUUUUUUUUCUUUUUUUUUUGCAGAAAGUAAGAGCAGUCCUAAAAUCACAAAGUCAACUCAAACACAAGACUCAUCAUUUUGGGGGAUAAUAAGGAAAAGACUCAAAAGUUCUGCCUCUUCCUGCCCACCCUGUAGGAAGAACCCCGCAGGAAGGAAGGUGAAGGCGAUGACCGCUGUGCCUCUUCCGUAGGGAGCUCAGACUGGGAAACAAGACUUGAAACCAAAGAGUCAACUCUAAAGUCAAACAUUACUGAAG
Molecule: long non-coding RNA, 324 nt
Filed under: Rhinolophus ferrumequinum (greater horseshoe bat)
Lineage: Eukaryota; Metazoa; Chordata; Mammalia; Chiroptera; Rhinolophidae
Description: lncRNA (ENSRFEG00010020686.1)
Source: RNAcentral